This 417-nucleotide long non-coding RNA is filed under the name Monodelphis domestica (gray short-tailed opossum). Its description in RNAcentral is "lncRNA (ENSMODG00000031183.2)". Lineage: Eukaryota; Metazoa; Chordata; Mammalia; Didelphimorphia; Didelphidae. The record is from RNAcentral.
CGUUCCUGGCUCUUUAAUUCUUCUCAUCUUGCAGCCUUUGGGAACUUCCCUUUAAGCAGGCCCCGCAAUGGGUAACGACUCCCUGGCGGACAGAGCGGCCGAACCCAAAGGCCAGGACAAACCGGACUCAGGCCAAAUCUCCUCCGCCCUGUUUAAUGACUGUGGGAAGGAGCCGCUGGUGGAUAAAGGAGGUCCAGGAAGACACCAGGAUGCAGCGCUCUUUCCGCCAUACUGAGGAGGCGCUCAGGGGUGAAAUUCUGAUGGAGGAGCUGGCUUGAUUAUGCAAAAAAGACAAAGAGGUGUCAGAAAGAGACUGAUGGGCUUGGGCAGAACCAGUGAACCUGGGUGCUUCCAAAGAUUCAUGUGUGAUGAGAACAAGUAUGCACAGGCACAAAUAAGGAUCAAAUGAAAAUGAAG